RNAcentral lists this ribosomal RNA (416 nucleotides) under uncultured bacterium. RNAcentral describes it as "bacterial SSU rRNA". It matches the Rfam family "Bacterial small subunit ribosomal RNA", at positions 355 to 776 of the family's 1533-position model. The record is from RNAcentral.
UUAGGAAUCUUCCACAAUGGGCGCAAGCCUGAUGGAGCGACGCCGCGUGAGGGAUGAAGGUUUUCGGAUCGUAAACCUCUGAAUGGGGGACGAAAGGGCCGUAAGGCAGAUGACGGUACCCCAGUAAUAGCACCGGCUAACUCCGUGCCAGCAGCCGCGGUAAUACGGAGGGUGCAAGCGUUACCCGGAAUCACUGGGCGUAAAGGGCGUGUAGGCGGUUAUUCAAGUCUGGUUUUAAAGACCGGGGCUCAACUCCGGAGAUGGACUGGAGACUGGAUGACUAGACCUCUGGAGAGGCAAUCGGAAUUCCUGGUGUAGCGGUGGAAUGCGUAGAUACCAGGAGGAACACCAACGGCGAAGGCAGAUUGCUGGACAGAAGGUGACGCUGAGGCGCGAAAGUGUGGGGAGCGAACCGG